RNAcentral lists this ribosomal RNA (253 nucleotides) under uncultured bacterium. RNAcentral's name for it is "partial 16S ribosomal RNA". It matches the Rfam family "Bacterial small subunit ribosomal RNA", at positions 524 to 776 of the family's 1533-position model. The record is from RNAcentral.
UACGAAGGGGGCUAGCGUUGCUCGGAAUGACUGGGCGUAAAGGGCGCGUAGGCGGUUUGAUCAGUUAGGUGUGAAAUUCCUGGGCUUAACCUGGGGGCUGCACUUAAUACGGUUAGACUAGAGUGUGAAAGAGGGUCGUGGAAUUCCCAGUGUAGAGGUGAAAUUCGUAGAUAUUGGGAAGAACACCGGUGGCGAAGGCGGCGACCUGGUUCAUUACUGACGCUGAGGCGCGAAAGCGCGGGGAGCAAACAGG